RNAcentral lists this long non-coding RNA (906 nucleotides) under Ricinus communis (castor bean). RNAcentral describes it as "long non-coding RNA (RCOM_LNC001836)". Lineage: Eukaryota; Viridiplantae; Streptophyta; Magnoliopsida; Malpighiales; Euphorbiaceae. The record is from RNAcentral.
UACUCACAGGAAAAUGAUCCAACCAUUUAAUCAGAACCAUCCUGAUGCAUGCUUUGGUUUAACCUGGCCCUAGUAAGGGGCUUGUGCCAUGCCUGCACCCUUGCCAGCUGGAACUGAGGCUUGUUCUUUAUGUGCUGAUACAGCAUUACAUCAUAUCUUAAGUUGCAGGAGUGCAGGCAUAAGGAUCUGAGGCGGACAGGAGUGAUCAUCUUGCAUUAUGAUUCAUUCCGCCAGUCUAGGCAUCAUUUGAAAUUCCUUCCAUGUCAUGAAGGAUGAAGAAGCUCAAAAGCUCAGUGUAUCAAGAAAGGAUUUGUCAAAGCUAGAAAUUUUGUUCUCUGUUUGGAAGAAGGUAUGCCUUGUUCCAUCACUACACCUUUUCCAGUUUUUGGGUUAUUUUAUUAAAAUCUUAAAGCAGAAAAACAAAGAUCUGAAUUGGAAACUGAAGAUUGAUGAUUUGCUUAAUUCUCCUAUAAUCGAAAACCAAGAUAAAAAAAACAUUGCUGUCAUUAUUAUUUUCUCUCUUUCAGUAACAACUGGGCAUAGCUGAAUCACAUGAAAUUUUGCAUAAUUAGACUUUGCAAGUUUCUGGUGGUGGUUAGUGUGUACUACUACUAGGUGGUUUGAGGUGGUUGGGCAGCUAUUUUCACAGGCAUGAUGGCUUGGCUUCAGAAGUUUAGUUCUCCUAUAACCUGAAGGAAAUAUUGAAAGUUCCCCAUGAAUAAUAACAAUUUAAUAUAGUGAAAUCACAUGAAGUUUUGCACAAUUCAGCUUCACUUUCCGUUCUGUUAGUAUAUGGUGGUGGUGGUGUCAGUGUAAUAGUGACCUGGGACAAGGAUUGCUCCCUUUCGUGAAAUGAGAAUGAAAAUGUAAAAUGGUCCAUCUAGCAAUGUGGUACAGUAGGAGGUA